UACGUAGGGCGCAAGCGUUGUCCGGAAUUAUUGGGCGUAAAGAGCUCGUAGGCGGUUUGUCGCGUCUGUCGUGAAAGCUUGGGGCUUAACCCCAAGUCUGCGGUGGAUACGGGCAGACUGGAGGCAGGUAGGGGAGAACGGAAUUCCCGGUGUAGCGGUGAAAUGCGCAGAUAUCGGGAGGAACACCGGUGGCGAAGGCGGUUCUCUGGGCCUGUACUGACGCUGAGGAGCGAAAGCGUGGGGAGCGAACAGG
This 253-nucleotide ribosomal RNA is filed under the name uncultured bacterium. RNAcentral describes it as "partial 16S ribosomal RNA". It matches the Rfam family "Bacterial small subunit ribosomal RNA", at positions 524 to 776 of the family's 1533-position model. The record is from RNAcentral.